GGUCAAGUGAAGAAGCGCAUACGGUGGAUGCCUUGGCAGUCAGAGGCGAUGAAAGACGUGGUAGCCUGCGAAAAGCUUCGGGGAGUCGGCAAACAGACUUUGAUCCGGAGAUGUCUGAAUGGGGGAACCCAGCCAUCAUAAGAUGGUUAUCUUACGCUGAAUACAUAGGCGUAAGAGGCGAACCAGGGGAACUGAAACAUCUAAGUACCCUGAGGAAAAGAAAUCAACCGAGAUUCCCUUAGUAGUGGCGAGCGAACGGGGACUAGCCCUUAAGUGGCUUUGAGAUUAGCGGAACGCUCUGGAAAGUGCGGCCAUAGUGGGUGAUAGCCCUGUACGCGAAAAUCUCUUAGUCAUGAAAUCGAGUAGGACGGAGCACGAGAAACUUUGUCUGAAUAUGGGGGGACCAUCCUCCAAGGCUAAAUACUACUGACUGACCGAUAGUGAACUAGUACCGUGAGGGAAAGGCGAAAAGAACCCCGGAGAGGGGAGUGAAAUAGAUCCUGAAACCGUAUGCGUACAAGCAGUGGGAGCCCACUUUGUUGGGUGACUGCGUACCUUUUGUAUAAUGGGUCAGCGACUUAUUUUCAGUGGCGAGCUUAACCGAAUAGGGGAGGCGUAGCGAAAGCGAGUCUUAAUAGGGCGUCUAGUCGCUGGGAAUAGACCCGAAACCGGGCGAUCUAUCCAUGGGCAGGUUGAAGGUUGGGUAACACUAACUGGAGGACCGAACCGACUACCGUUGAAAAGUUAGCGGAUGACCUGUGGAUCGGAGUGAAAGGCUAAUCAAGCUCGGAGAUAGCUGGUUCUCCUCGAAAGCUAUUUAGGUAGCGCCUCAUGUAUCACUGUAGGGGGUAGAGCACUGUUUCGGCUAGGGGGUCAUCCCGACUUACCAAACCGAUGCAAACUCCGAAUACCUACAAGUGCCGAGCAUGGGAGACACACGGCGGGUGCUAACGUCCGUCGUGAAAAGGGAAACAACCCAGACCGUCAGCUAAGGUCCCAAAGUUAUGGUUAAGUGGGAAACGAUGUGGGAAGGCUUAGACAGCUAGGAGGUUGGCUUAGAAGCAGCCACCCUUUAAAGAAAGCGUAAUAGCUCACUAGUCGAGUCGGCCUGCGCGGAAGAUGUAACGGGGCUCAAACCAUACACCGAAGCUACGGGUAUCACGUAAGUGAUGCGGUAGAGGAGCGUUCUGUAAGCCUGUGAAGGUGAGUUGAGAAGCUUGCUGGAGGUAUCAGAAGUGCGAAUGCUGACAUGAGUAACGACAAUGGGUGUGAAAAACACCCACGCCGAAAGACCAAGGUUUCCUGCGCAACGUUAAUCGACGCAGGGUUAGUCGGUCCCUAAGGCGAGGCUGAAAAGCGUAGUCGAUGGAAAACAGGUUAAUAUUCCUGUACUUCUGGUUAUUGCGAUGGAGGGACGGAGAAGGCUAGGCCAGCUUGGCGUUGGUUGUCCAAGUUUAAGGUGGUAGGCUGAGAUCUUAGGUAAAUCCGGGAUCUUAAGGCCGAGAGCUGAUGACGAGCUAACUUUUAGUUAGCGAAGUGGUUGAUGCCAUGCUUCCAAGAAAAGCUUCUAAGCUUCAGGUAACCAGGAACCGUACCCCAAACCGACACAGGUGGUUGGGUAGAGAAUACCAAGGCGCUUGAGAGAACUCGGGUGAAGGAACUAGGCAAAAUGGCACCGUAACUUCGGGAGAAGGUGCGCCGGUGAGGGUGAAGGACUUGCUCCGUAAGCUCAUGCCGGUCGAAGAUACCAGGCCGCUGCGACUGUUUAUUAAAAACACAGCACUCUGCAAACACGAAAGUGGACGUAUAGGGUGUGACGCCUGCCCGGUGCCGGAAGGUUAAUUGAUGGGGUUAGCUAACGCGAAGCUCUUGAUCGAAGCCCCGGUAAACGGCGGCCGUAACUAUAACGGUCCUAAGGUAGCGAAAUUCCUUGUCGGGUAAGUUCCGACCUGCACGAAUGGCGUAACGAUGGCGGCGCUGUCUCCACCCGAGACUCAGUGAAAUUGAAAUCGCUGUGAAGAUGCAGUGUAUCCGCGGCUAGACGGAAAGACCCCGUGAACCUUUACUAUAGCUUUGCACUGGACUUUGAAUUUGCUUGUGUAGGAUAGGUGGGAGGCUUUGAAGCGUGGACGCCAGUCUGCGUGGAGCCAACCUUGAAAUACCACCCUGGCAACUUUGAGGUUCUAACUCAGGUCCGUUAUCCGGAUCGAGGACAGUGUAUGGUGGGUAGUUUGACUGGGGCGGUCUCCUCCUAAAGAGUAACGGAGGAGUACGAAGGUGCGCUCAGACCGGUCGGAAAUCGGUCGUAGAGUAUAAAGGCAAAAGCGCGCUUGACUGCGAGACAGACACGUCGAGCAGGUACGAAAGUAGGUCUUAGUGAUCCGGUGGUUCUGUAUGGAAGGGCCAUCGCUCAACGGAUAAAAGGUACUCCGGGGAUAACAGGCUGAUACCGCCCAAGAGUUCAUAUCGACGGCGGUGUUUGGCACCUCGAUGUCGGCUCAUCACAUCCUGGGGCUGAAGCCGGUCCCAAGGGUAUGGCUGUUCGCCAUUUAAAGUGGUACGCGAGCUGGGUUUAGAACGUCGUGAGACAGUUCGGUCCCUAUCUGCCGUGGACGUUUGAGAUUUGAGAGGGGCUGCUCCUAGUACGAGAGGACCGGAGUGGACGAACCUCUGGUGUUCCGGUUGUCACGCCAGUGGCAUUGCCGGGUAGCUAUGUUCGGAAUAGAUAACCGCUGAAAGCAUCUAAGCGGGAAACUAGCCUCAAGAUGAGAUCUCACUGGAACCUUGAGUUCCCUGAAGGGCCGUCGAAGACUACGACGUUGAUAGGUUGGGUGUGUAAGCGCUGUGAGGCGUUGAGCUAACCAAUACUAAUUGCCCGUGAGGCUUGACCAU
Molecule: ribosomal RNA, 2892 nt
Filed under: Pseudomonas fluorescens
Lineage: Bacteria; Pseudomonadati; Pseudomonadota; Gammaproteobacteria; Pseudomonadales; Pseudomonadaceae
Also listed under: 4 other names
Description: 23S ribosomal RNA
Rfam family: Bacterial large subunit ribosomal RNA
Source: RNAcentral